Long non-coding RNA from Toxorhynchites rutilus septentrionalis, 907 nucleotides. RefSeq lists it as uncharacterized. The transcript is spliced from 3 exons. Lineage: Eukaryota; Metazoa; Arthropoda; Insecta; Diptera; Culicidae. The record is from RefSeq and is a predicted model, not a curated record.
AUUUUGCUCGUUAGCUCUAUUUUACUAUUAUAGAAAUCGAGCAAUUCGAUAGCACCGAGCGAGUGAUAACUAUCGAUGCAUGUGUCAGAACUUUUCGAGUUGUUUGGUUCACUUGUUGCAUAUCUUCAGAGAAUUAUUUUGUUUUGGCUUGUAUCCCUUUGGGAAACAUUUCAGAAACGCUUCAAUAUAUGCAAUUUGCAACACAUGUUCGUUUGUUUUGAUCAGCAUUUGUUUUACGGUGCUGCCAGAAUAGUCUAUACAAGCGCAUAUUUCAGUGGCUGAAAAUGCGUGGUGGAAGAAAAAAAACCAAAUCACCACCAGUUUGAACGGCUCCUUGAAACAAUGGAAGCGAACGUAGACAUUGCUCGAGAUCUUUGUGGAGGCAGUUCUAAUAUAAUCCCAGUGUAGGAAAAGUUGGAGGAAUCCAGAGAGGAACUUAGUGCACUGAGACCACCAAUGCAUCUAGGUUCAGAAUGGCAGAAAAUUUGGAUUGACAUGAGGGGAAAGGUAAAGAAAACACUAGCACACAACAAGCGAGAAUUUAGAGCAAUAGGUGAUGGCCCCAAUACAAUAAAGCUAUCGACGCCGCUACAACAAGAAAUCGACGCUAAAAGAGGAUUACAUGUUGCAUUACAUGAAUAACAAAAAUUGUUUUGCUAAAAGAAAAGUGAAAUUCAUGCAUGACUCUUCACGGAAUUCCAUAGAUUUUCUAAUAAUUAUAUUUUUUGUACAGCAAAUUGUUCCACGCUGUCGUUUUUAUUACACAUGCAUGCGUGCCUUACGCCUAUUAAGCUUUAUUCUUUGAGGGAAUAUCAAUUUACUCCAAAACAUAACCAUAUUAACACUUUUGGAAAUACAUUUUCAUAGCAGAUGCCUCAAAAAAAGAUUUGGCAUCCUUUUUAUAGUG